AUGGAACGCUAGAGGGAUGCUUUACCCAUGCAAGUCGAACGAGUGGCGGACGGGUGGGUAAUAUCUCGGAACGUGCCAAGUAGCCGGGGAUAACUACACGAAAGAGUGGCUAAUACCGCAUACUAUUGGCUCGGCCGUUAUCGGAUUAGCUAGUUGGUGGGGGAAAGGCUCACCAAGGCAACGAUCCGUAGCUGGUUGGAGAGGACGACCAGGCACACUGGGACUGAGACAGGGCCCAGACUCCUACGGGAGGCAGCAGUGGGGAAUGUUUGAAAAUGGGGGAAACCCUGAUCCAGCCAUCCCGCGUGUAUGAGAAGGCCUUCGGGUUGUAAAGUACUUUUGGCAGAGAAGCGGUAUCUGCAGAAUAAGCACCGGCUAACUACGGGCCAGCAGCCGCGGUAAUAC
This 405-nucleotide ribosomal RNA is filed under the name uncultured bacterium. RNAcentral's name for it is "partial 16S ribosomal RNA". It matches the Rfam family "Bacterial small subunit ribosomal RNA", at positions 31 to 526 of the family's 1533-position model. The record is from RNAcentral.